This 217-nucleotide ribosomal RNA is filed under the name uncultured bacterium. RNAcentral describes it as "partial 16S ribosomal RNA". It matches the Rfam family "Bacterial small subunit ribosomal RNA", at positions 118 to 334 of the family's 1533-position model. The record is from RNAcentral.
UGAGCAACCUACCCUUGACACUGGAAUAACAGCUGGAAACAGCUGCUAAUACCGGAUACGACCUUCGAUGGCAUCAUCUGGAGGUGGAAAGCUCCGACGGUCAAGGAUGGGCUCGCGGCCUAUCAGCUUGUUGGUGAGGUAAUGGCUCACCAAGGCGACGACGGGUAGCUGGUCUGAGAGGAUGGCCAGCCACAUUGGGACUGAGACACCGGCACGA